This is a long non-coding RNA of Cyprinus carpio carpio, 868 nucleotides long. The record is from Ensembl. NCBI's taxonomy places the organism in Eukaryota, Metazoa, Chordata, Actinopteri, Cypriniformes, Cyprinidae.
UGAGUGACGAGUCGACAUGCAGGUAGACGCUUCAAAGGGACCCGCUAGAUCUGCACAAGAGCAUAAAGGUAAGUGUAACAGGACUGGACACGGAUAGUGGACAGAGGGGCCGCUGGCUCUUCACUCGGGGGCACAAGUAAGUCCGUAGGAAAGACAACUGGGGUUUCACUUGGGCAGACAGGCGAGUGUACAACACAAUAUGCUGGCUUUAGCUUUGGGCAUAAGGUAAGUACAUCCAAUAUAACUGGGACUUCACUCUGGGCAUACAGGCGAGUGUACAACACAAUAUGCUGGCUUUAGCUUUGGGCAUAAGGUAAGUACAUCCAAUAUAACUGGGACUUUACUCUGGGCAGACAGGCGAGUGUACAACACAAUAUGCUGGCUUUAGCUUUGGGCAUAAGGUAAGUACAUCCAAUAUAACUGGGACUUCACUCUGGGCGGACAGGCGAGUGUACAACACAAUAUGCUGGCUUUAGCUUUGGGCAUAAGGUAAGUACAUCCAAUAUAACUGGGACUUUACUCUGGGCAGACAGGUGGGUGUACAACACAAUAUGCUGACUUUAGCUUUGGGCAUACGCUUACGGUGAAUAUACAGGGAAACAGGAAGUGAUGUAACUCACAGACCUUCGAGGGAAUAGACGUCAGACGUUCCUUUUCUGAGGCUUCUACCAACUGCUGAUAGAGAGGCGGAUCGAAAACUGUUGCGUUGGGCCGAACACGGCCUCCGCUGGCGUCACACACAGGUAAGUUGUCUCACCCGGGGUGUACUACACUGGAUGGGUCGAACGCUUCCCUCUUCUUUCUACCAACCGACAAGUCAAGAGAUCUAGACAGGGGCGAACCUUUGAAGAACUCCACAGCAGGUAAU